Molecule: ribosomal RNA, 468 nt
Filed under: uncultured bacterium
Lineage: Bacteria
Description: partial 16S ribosomal RNA
Rfam family: Bacterial small subunit ribosomal RNA
Source: RNAcentral
GACGAACGCUGGCGGCGUGCUUAACACAUGCAAGUCGAACGGAAAGGCCCUGCUUUUGUGGGGUGCUCGAGUGGCGAACGGGUGAGUAACACGUGAGUAACCUGCCCUUGACUUUGGGAUAACUUCAGGAAACUGGGGCUAAUAACGGAUAGGAGCUCCUGCUGCAUGGUGGGGGUGGGAAAGUUUCGGCGGUUGGGGAUGGACUCGCGGCUUAUCAGCUUGUUGGUGGGGUAGUGGCUGACCAAGGCUUUGACGGGUAGCCGGCCUGAGAGGGUGACCGGCCCCAUUGGGACUGAGAUACGGCCCAGCCUCCUACGGGAGGCAGCAGUGGGGAAUAUUGCACUAUGGGCGGAAGCCUGAUGCAGCCACGCCGCGUGCGGGAUGACGGCCUUCGGGUUGUAAACCGCUUUCGCCUGUGACGAAGCGUGAGUGACGGUAAUGGGUAAAGAAGCACCGGCUAACUACGUG